CCUACGGGAGGCAGCAGUGAGGAAUAUUGGUCAAUGGACGCAAGUCUGAACCAGCCAUGCCGCGUGCAGGAAGACGGCUCUAUGAGUUGUAAACUGCUUUUGUACGAGGGUAAACGCAGAUACGUGUAUCUGUCUGAAAGUAUCGUACGAAUAAGGAUCGGCUAACUCCGUGCCAGCAGCCGCGGUAAUACGGAGAAUUCAAGCGUUAUCCGGAUUUAUUGGGUUUAAAGGGUGCGUAGGCGGUCGGGUAAGUUAGAGGUGAAAUCCCAAGGCUCAACUUCGGAUUUGCCUCUGAUACUGUCCGGCGAGAGAGUAGUUGCGGUAGGCGGAAUGAAUGGGGGAGGGGUGAAAUGCUUAGAGAUCA
RNAcentral lists this ribosomal RNA (364 nucleotides) under uncultured bacterium. RNAcentral's name for it is "partial 16S ribosomal RNA". It matches the Rfam family "Bacterial small subunit ribosomal RNA", at positions 338 to 699 of the family's 1533-position model. The record is from RNAcentral.